CUAAGACUAGGUAUGGUUUGAAGUUGGUUGUUUAUGGGUUCACAUUUUGCUGGACUUUCAAGACAACUUAGGUAUUUAUGAUGAGCCCAUUGCCAAGGUGUCUUAUCUUGUGAAAGUUGCCAGUUAGCAACUAUUCCUAACUACAGAGAACAGCUCAGCCCACAGGAUGAAGGCAUCAGCUCUAAGCUGAUGACCACCUACCUUACGUCAGGAAUUCAGAAGGAUCCCAAGAUACUUUAGAAAAAAAUUGAUAUAGAAACUAUAUACUGUGGUCACUUCCCCAAUUACUGCAAUGCAGCCAUCUCUGAAGUAAAAGUGUGCUUGCUGUUUAACCUCUAUGCCACAGACUGGGACAAGGAGAUUUCAGGGCCUGAUCCAGGAGGUGUUCUCUGAGCAUGCCUUAGAUGCUGAUAUCAGUCAGAAUGUGCAGCAGGAAAUGCAUGUCACUGAGAAGCGGGGGGCAGCCCAAACACCUAUACAGAAGACA
This is a long non-coding RNA of Dermochelys coriacea (leatherback sea turtle), 487 nucleotides long. RefSeq lists it as uncharacterized. The transcript has 3 exons. Lineage: Eukaryota; Metazoa; Chordata; Testudines; Dermochelyidae. The record is from RefSeq and is a predicted model, not a curated record.